GUACAUCAUUAUUGUAAGUCGCUUUGGACAAAAGCGUCUGCAAAAUGCAAUGUA
Molecule: regulatory RNA element, 54 nt
Organism: Astyanax mexicanus (Mexican tetra)
Lineage: Eukaryota; Metazoa; Chordata; Actinopteri; Characiformes; Acestrorhamphidae
Rfam family: UnaL2 LINE 3' element
About the family: The eel long interspersed element (LINE) UnaL2 and its partner short interspersed element (SINE) share a conserved 3' tail containing a stem-loop that is critical for their retrotransposition. Presumably, the first step of retrotransposition is the recognition of their 3' tails by UnaL2-encoded reverse transcriptase. The solution structure of a 17-nucleotide RNA derived from the 3' tail of UnaL2 was determined by NMR.
Source: Rfam